Molecule: long non-coding RNA, 469 nt
Organism: Rhipicephalus sanguineus (brown dog tick)
Lineage: Eukaryota; Metazoa; Arthropoda; Arachnida; Ixodida; Ixodidae
Exons: 3
Source: RefSeq, a predicted model, not a curated record
GUUUCUUCUUUAUAGACUGGACCAACUGAUGCUCCUCGUUGUUUCCUCGUCGACGGUCUGCUGCCAUUGAACCACUGCGCUUUGUUACAGUUCGUCCAUCAGGAUACCAUCUGGGAUGAUGACCUUGAGGAAAUGCCAAGUUGACCUUUCAUAUUUGCGAAAGGUAUGCUAUUCUCCCCUUCUAAAUAUGAGUAAAUUUUGAACCCAAAUUUUCAACUUGCAGGUGGUGGUUUCCUGACAGCGAAGUCCUUCACAGUUUGCAUUGACGACGUUCCUCUCAUGCAAGCAUCCAGUCCUAGAGAGGCGUUCAAGAUAUUAUUCCUGGCAGACUUUGCGUCAACGUUGCCUACCCAAAAGAGGCAAGUCUUACUCUGGAGUUCACUCAUAGGUCACUUGCCACUGUCAGUCCCGGAAAGGGCACAAAGACUGAGCAUACACGAGGGAAACAGCACAUGAACCCGAAAGUGGC